This 83-nucleotide transfer RNA is filed under the name Gemmata sp. SH-PL17. RNAcentral's name for it is "tRNA-Gly". Lineage: Bacteria; Pseudomonadati; Planctomycetota; Planctomycetia; Gemmatales; Gemmataceae. The record is from RNAcentral.
GCGUCUCCGGUCUGGUGGACCGCGGCGGCUCCCAGCCGCCGGUAGAAGCUCAUGGCGCCGGCGUUGCUCGCGCUGGCGACCCA